This 685-nucleotide ribosomal RNA is filed under the name Staphylococcus equorum. RNAcentral's name for it is "bacterial SSU rRNA". It matches the Rfam family "Bacterial small subunit ribosomal RNA", at positions 103 to 773 of the family's 1533-position model. Lineage: Bacteria; Bacillati; Bacillota; Bacilli; Caryophanales; Staphylococcaceae. The record is from RNAcentral.
CGGGUGAGUAACACGUGGGUAACCUACCUAUAAGACUGGAAUAACUUCGGGAAACCGGAGCUAAUGCCGGAUAACAUUUGGAACCGCAUGGUUCUAAAGUAAAAGAUGGUUUUGCUAUCACUUAUAGAUGGACCCGCGCCGUAUUAGCUAGUUGGUAAGGUAACGGCUUACCAAGGCAACGAUACGUAGCCGACCUGAGAGGGUGAUCGGCCACACUGGAACUGAGACACGGUCCAGACUCCUACGGGAGGCAGCAGUAGGGAAUCUUCCGCAAUGGACGAAAGUCUGACGGAGCAACGCCGCGUGAGUGAUGAAGGUUUUCGGAUCGUAAAACUCUGUUAUUAGGGAAGAACAAAUGUGUAAGUAACUGUGCACAUCUUGACGGUACCUAAUCAGAAAGCCACGGCUAACUACGUGCCAGCAGCCGCGGUAAUACGUAGGUGGCAAGCGUUAUCCGGAAUUAUUGGGCGUAAAGCGCGCGUAGGCGGUUUCUUAAGUCUGAUGUGAAAGCCCACGGCUCAACCGUGGAGGGUCAUUGGAAACUGGGAAACUUGAGUACAGAAGAGGAAAGUGGAAUUCCAUGUGUAGCGGUGAAAUGCGCAGAGAUAUGGAGGAACACCAGUGGCGAAAGGCGACUUUCUGGUCUGUAACUGACGCUGAUGUGCGAAAGCGUGGGGGAUCAAAC